CCUACGGGAGGCAGCAGGCGCGAAACCUCCGCAAUGCGGGAAACCGCGACGGGGGGACCCCGAGUGCCGUGGCACCGCCACGGCUUUUCCGGAGUGUAAAAAGCUCCGGGAAUAAGGGCUGGGCAAGGCCGGUGGCAGCCGCCGCGGUAAUACCGGCGGCCCGAGUGGUGGCCGCUAUUAUUGGGCCUAAAGCGUCCGUAGCCGGGCCCGUAAGUCCCUGGCGAAAUCCCACGGCUCAACCGUGGGGCUUGCUGGGGAUACUGCGGGCCUUGGGACCGGGAGAGGCGGGGGGUACCCCUGGGGUAGGGGUGAAAUCCUAUAAUCCCAGGGGGACCGCCAGUGGCGAAGGCGCCCCGCUGGAACGGGUCCGACGGUGAGGGACGAAGGCCAGGGGAGCAAACCGGAUUAGAUACCCUGGUAG
RNAcentral lists this ribosomal RNA (421 nucleotides) under uncultured bacterium. RNAcentral's name for it is "bacterial SSU rRNA". It matches the Rfam family "Archaeal small subunit ribosomal RNA", at positions 322 to 744 of the family's 1478-position model. The record is from RNAcentral.